This 253-nucleotide ribosomal RNA is filed under the name uncultured bacterium. Its description in RNAcentral is "partial 16S ribosomal RNA". It matches the Rfam family "Bacterial small subunit ribosomal RNA", at positions 524 to 776 of the family's 1533-position model. The record is from RNAcentral.
GACGAACUGUGCAAACGUUAUUCGGAAUCACUGGGCUUGAAGAGUGCGUAGGCGGUUUUGUAAGUAGGGUGUGAAAUCCCACGGCUCAACCGUGGAACUGCUGGGUAUACUGGCGAUCUUGAGCCACCUAGGGGCGAGCGGAACAAGCGGUGGAGCGGUGAAAUGCGUAGAUAUCGCUUGGAACGCCAAUGGUGAAAACAGCUCGCUGGGGGUGUGCUGACGCUGAGACACGAAAGCCAGGGGAGCGAACGGG